CCUACGGGUGGCAGCAGCAAGGAAUUUUCGGCAAUGGGCGCAAGCCUGACCGAGCAACGCCGCGUGCAGGAUGACGGCCUUCGGGUUGUAAACCGCUGUCAGGAGGGAAGAAGCGCAAGUGACGGUACCUCCAGAGGAAGCCCCGGCCAACUACGUGCCAGCAGCCGCGGUAAUACGUAGGGGGCAAGCGUUGUCCGGAAUUAUUGGGCGUAAAGAGCUCGUAGGCGGUCCUUUAAGUCGGAUGUGAAAUCUCGGGGCUCAACCCCGAAAUUGCACCCGAUACUGGAGGACUUGAGGCAGGUAGGGGAAGGUGGAAUUCCUGGUGUAGCGGUGAAAUGCGCAGAUAUCAGGAGGAACACCCGUGGCGAAGGCGGCCUUCUGGGCCUGUUCUGACGCUGAGGAGCGAAAGCGUGGGGAGCAAACAGGAUUAGAUACCCGGG
This 440-nucleotide ribosomal RNA is filed under the name uncultured bacterium. RNAcentral describes it as "bacterial SSU rRNA". It matches the Rfam family "Bacterial small subunit ribosomal RNA", at positions 338 to 790 of the family's 1533-position model. The record is from RNAcentral.